CCUACGGGUGGCAGCAGUGAGGAAUAUUGGUCAAUGGGCGCAAGUCUGAACCAGCCAUGCCGCGUGAAGGAUGACGGCUCUAUGGGUUGUAAACUGCUUUUGUACGGGAGUAAACUCAUCUACGCGUGUCUGUCUGAAAGUAUCAUACGAAUAAGGAUCGGCUAACUCCGUGCCAGCAGCCGCGGUAAUACGGAGGAUUCAAGCGUUAUCCGGAUUUAUUGGGUUUAAAGGGUGCGUAGGAGGUCGGAUAAGUUAGAUGUGAAAUCCCGAGGCUCAACCUGAGAAUUGCAUUUGAUACUGGUAGGCUAGAGAACAGGAGAGGUAGGCGGAAUGCAUGGUGUAGCGGUGAAAUGCUUAGAGAUCAUAAAGAACACCGAUUGCGAAGGCAGUUUACCAAGCUACAUCUGACGUUGAGGCACGAAAGUGUGGGGAGCAAACAGGAUUAGAUACCCUGGUAGUC
This 460-nucleotide ribosomal RNA is filed under the name uncultured bacterium. RNAcentral describes it as "partial 16S ribosomal RNA". It matches the Rfam family "Bacterial small subunit ribosomal RNA", at positions 338 to 795 of the family's 1533-position model. The record is from RNAcentral.